UGGACAAUGGGCGCAGGCUUGAUCCAGCCAUGCCGGGGGUUGAAGAAGGCCUUCGGGUUGUAAAGGACUUUUGUCCAGGGAAGAAAAGGGCGGGGUUAAUACCCCUGUCUGAUGACGGUACCUGAAGAAUAAGCACCGGCUAACUACGUGCCAGCAGCCGCGGUAAUACGUAGGGUGCGAGCGUUAAUCGGAAUUACUGGGCGUAAAGCGGGCGCAGACGGUUACUUAAGCAGGAUGUGAAAUCCCCGGGCUCAACCUGGGAACUGCGUUCUGAACUGGGUGACUAGAGUGUGUCAGAGGGAGGUAGAAUUCCACGUGUAGCAGUGAAAUGCGUAGAGAUGUGGAGGAAUACCGAUGGCGAAGGCAGCCUCCUGGGAUAACACUGACGUUCAUGCCCGAAAGCGUGGGUAGCAAACAGGAUUAGAUACCCUGGUAGUCCACGCCCCAAACGAUGUCGAUUAGCUGUUGGGCAGCAUGACUGCUUAGUAGCGAAGCUAACGCGUGAAAUCGACCGCCUGGGGAGUACGGUCGCAAGAUUAAAACUCAAAGGAAUUGACGGGGACCCGCACAAGCGGUGGAUGAUGUGGAUUAAUUCGAUGCAACGCGAAGAACCUUACCUGGUCUUGACAUGUACGGAACCCUCCAGAGACGGAGGGGUGCCUUCGGGAGCCGUAACACAGGUGCUGCAUGGCUGUCGUCAGCUCGUGUCGUGAGAUGUUGGGUUAAGUCCCGCAACGAGCGCAACCCUUGUCAUUAGUUGCCAUCAUUAAGUUGGGCACUCUAAUGAGACUGCCGGUGACAAGCCGGAGGAAGGUGGGGAUGACGUCAAGUCCUCAUGGCCCUUAUGACCAGGGCUUCACACGUCAUACAAUGGUCGGUACAGAGGGUAGCCAAGCCGCGAGGUGGAGCCAAUCUCACAAAACCGAUCGUAGUCCGGAUUGCACUCUGCAACUCGAGUGCAUGAAGUCGGAAUCGCUAGUAAUCGCAGGUCAGCAUACUGCGGUGAAUACGUUCCCGGGUCUUGUACACACCGCCCGUC
This 1039-nucleotide ribosomal RNA is filed under the name uncultured bacterium. Its description in RNAcentral is "bacterial SSU rRNA". It matches the Rfam family "Bacterial small subunit ribosomal RNA", at positions 365 to 1398 of the family's 1533-position model. The record is from RNAcentral.